This 253-nucleotide ribosomal RNA is filed under the name uncultured Lachnospiraceae bacterium. Its description in RNAcentral is "partial 16S ribosomal RNA". It matches the Rfam family "Bacterial small subunit ribosomal RNA", at positions 524 to 776 of the family's 1533-position model. Lineage: Bacteria; Bacillati; Bacillota; Clostridia; Lachnospirales; Lachnospiraceae. The record is from RNAcentral.
UACGUAGGGGGCAAGCGUUAUCCGGAUUUACUGGGUGUAAAGGGAGCGUAGACGGCGCGGCAAGUCUGAAGUGAAAGGCAGGGGCUUAACCCCUGAACUGCUUUGGAAACUGCCAUGCUAGAGUGCUGGAGAGGUAAGUGGAAUUCCUAGUGUAGCGGUGAAAUGCGUAGAUAUCGCGCAGAACUCCGAUUGCGAAGGCAGCAUGCCGGCUCCACACUGACGCUGAGGCACGAAAGCGUGGGUAUCGAACAGG